UACGUAGGUGGCAAGCGUUGUCCGGAUUUACUGGGCGUAAAGAGCGCGCAGGCGGUCGUUCAAGUCGAGUGUGAAAGCCCCCGGCUCAACUGGGGAGGGUCACUCGAUACUGAUCGACUCGAAGGCAGAAGAGGGAAGCGGAAUUCCCGGUGUAGUGGUGAAAUGCGUAGAUAUCUGGAGGAAUACCGGUGGCGAAGGCGGCAUCCUGGACCGGCAUUGACGCUGAACAGCGAAAGCUAGGGGAGCAAACGGG
This 253-nucleotide ribosomal RNA is filed under the name uncultured bacterium. RNAcentral describes it as "partial 16S ribosomal RNA". It matches the Rfam family "Bacterial small subunit ribosomal RNA", at positions 524 to 776 of the family's 1533-position model. The record is from RNAcentral.